UACGUAGGGUGCGAGCGUUGUCCGGAAUUAUUGGGCGUAAAGAGCUUGUAGGCGGUUUGUCGCGUCUGCUGUGAAAAUCCGGGGCUCAACCCCGGACUUGCAGUGGGUACGGGCAGACUAGAGUGUGGUAGGGGAGACUGGAAUUCCUGGUGUAGCGGUGAAAUGCGCAGAUAUCAGGAGGAACACCGAUGGCGAAGGCAGGUCUCUGGGCCAUAACUGACGCUGAGAAGCGAAAGCAUGGGUAGCGAACAGGAUUAGAUACCCGGGUA
RNAcentral lists this ribosomal RNA (269 nucleotides) under uncultured prokaryote. Its description in RNAcentral is "partial 16S ribosomal RNA". It matches the Rfam family "Bacterial small subunit ribosomal RNA", at positions 524 to 792 of the family's 1533-position model. The record is from RNAcentral.